GCUGCCUGCCUCUUUGCAACAUCCUCGGUGCCAGCCUUUCCCGCAGGGCCUCAGGAGGAGAGGCCUCCGGGAAGCAUUCACACUUCCGCUUUCACUGAGACCCCCGGCCUGGCCCACGGCCCCUGCGCCCCUCUCUCCGACCUCUCCCCUGGAUGUGCAGGGCGGAGACCUCCUGGGGAAGAAAGGCAGGUGGCGCCCAGAGGCCACGCAGCGUCUCCUCAGACGCCGGCUGUCAUCUGUGCACUCGGUCAGUGGGUCCCUCAUCAGAGUGCCCUGAGAGCAGUGGCAUUCAAUGGGUGGUGGGCUGUCACGUGGUGGCAGCUCUCCAGCUGACGGGAGGGCUUCCCCCGGUGGGGUGGGUAACGGCCUGGGCCAGAAGCACUGCCGCUCCCGGCUGCUCCCGGGCCUUCCUGCCAGGGCCCAGGCUGCUGCUGUGGGAGCCAAGCAGGGGACUCUUCUGUGCAGGAUUCGUAGCUGGCCCAGGCCUCCAACCAGCUUGAGGGCUGGAGGGGAGAGGCAGGACAGGGUGCGGAGAGGCCACAGCCAGCAGCUUGUGGUCGGGGGCUUGGGUGUCUGGCGCCUCCCACCCUGGUUCCUCCCAGGCUUGGCUUGUGUCUGCAGAGAGCUCUGAUCCGUGGUCAGUCCUGUGGUGAGAGGGCACCUUGGACGUCAUUCGGUGCAAUUGGACAAGGAACCGAAGGCCCCAGAUGGAGCUGCAUGCUUGGGUCUGCACAGCCCGUGGGUGGGGCCUUUCUGGAUGCUAGACUCCCUGAAGCCCACAGCACCCAGCUUCCCCUUCACCCACCGCUGGGCCUACUGCCUGCUUUGUGCCCCCAGGGAAGAAGCAGGCCUGGCAAGAGCCCUGCAGUUCUUGGCUCUCACCAAGUGAGGAGUGAAAGAAAACUCCUAGCUUGGCGAGGUGAAGACAGAGACAGAGGAGACAAAGCCUCUCCAAGAACUCAGCAGCCACGUCUGGUAUCUACAGCGAGCCCGUCUGAAAUCCCAGCCAUUUCUUCUGUCCUCAGGAAUGUCAGUGGCAUCUGCAAGGACGCAGACACUUCACGGGAACGUAGGCUUGCAGGCUGUGGAGGCGGGUUCAGAAAACCCGAGGGUACGGAGCCCCAGAGACCCGUGUGGGGUCAGAGUCCAGAGGCCGUGGACGAGCCGGGGCUGUUGAGAAGUGUCUCCAAUGAAUUGGAUUGAGAAGGAAUAGAAUGAUAAGGAGGGAAUGAAUGUGAGCCUGCAGCCCCGGCCUUGUGGCUCAGCACCUGUGACCCAGGCAGCCAGCCUCCCGUGGCAGCACUGUGCACCCCUGGCAGUGGGGGCGGGCAGGUGUCAGAGAAGACCAGCUGGUUUCUGAGAGCUGACAGUGUAAACCUAGCCUGGCCCAGAGCUGCGUGCGAGGCCACUGGGCACCUUGCAAAGCCCUCCUCUGCUCUCGGGGACUGACAGGCACUUUGGGGGACGGUGGGGGUCUCUGUUAGGGGACUUUUGGAAUGCAAUGCUGGUGUGGCUUUAAGGCACCCUGUUCGUAGUAGCUGUGGUAAUAAACACUUGCCCAGGGCCCAGAGUUUGGAAGCAUGGAGGAGGGUUUACCAGCACAGUCUCUGCCUGCUUUUGAAACCUACGUGGCCUUGGGCAAGCUAAUCAGCUUUGGGGGCCUUGGCUUCCCCAGAUGGGGCCACAGCCAUACCUACUCCAAACCAUUGUUGU
Molecule: long non-coding RNA, 1713 nt
Organism: Artibeus jamaicensis (Jamaican fruit-eating bat)
Lineage: Eukaryota; Metazoa; Chordata; Mammalia; Chiroptera; Phyllostomidae
Exons: 3
Source: RefSeq, a predicted model, not a curated record